CGAAAGCCUGACGGAGCAAUACCGCGUGAGGGAGGAAGGCUCUUGGGUCGUAAACCUCUUUUCUCAAGGAAGAAGAAAGUGACGGUACUUGAGGAAUAAGCAUCGGCUAACUCCGUGCCAGCAGCCGCGGUAAUACGGAGGAUGCAAGCGUUAUCCGGAAUGAUUGGGCGUAAAGGGUCUGUAGGUGGUACUGUAAGUCUGCUGUUAAAGAAUCACGCUCAACGUGAUCAAAGCAGUGGAAACUACAGAACUAGAGUGCGGUAGGGGCAGAAGGAAUUCCUGGUGUAGCGGUGAAAUGCGUAGAUAUCAGGAAGAACACCGGUGGCGAAAGCGUUCUGCUAGACCGCAACUGACACUGAGGGACGAAAGCUAGGGGAGCG
This 380-nucleotide ribosomal RNA is filed under the name uncultured Anabaena sp. RNAcentral's name for it is "bacterial SSU rRNA". It matches the Rfam family "Bacterial small subunit ribosomal RNA", at positions 376 to 770 of the family's 1533-position model. Lineage: Bacteria; Bacillati; Cyanobacteriota; Cyanophyceae; Nostocales; Nostocaceae. The record is from RNAcentral.